RNAcentral lists this ribosomal RNA (394 nucleotides) under uncultured bacterium. Its description in RNAcentral is "partial 16S ribosomal RNA". It matches the Rfam family "Bacterial small subunit ribosomal RNA", at positions 523 to 918 of the family's 1533-position model. The record is from RNAcentral.
AUACGUAGGGAGCGAGCGUUGUCCGGAAUUACUGGGCGUAAAGGGCGCGUAGGCGGCGCUUCAAGUCGUCAGUCAAAUGUGAGGGCUUAACCCUUUUUCGCAGACGAAACUGGAGAGCUUGAGAAGCAGAGAGGCAAACAGAAUUCCUGGUGUAGCGGUGAAAUGCGUAGAUAUCAGGAAGAAUACCAGUGGCGAAGGCGGUUUGCUGGCUGCAUACUGACGCUGAAGCGCGAAAGCCAGGGGAGCAAACGGGAUUAGAUACCCCGGUAGUCCUGGCAGUAAACGAUGUAUGCUGGGUGUGAGACUAGCGAUAGUUUCGUGCCGAAGUUAACGCGAUAAGCAUACCGCCUGGGGAGUACGGUCGCAAGAUUGAAACUCAAAGGAAUUGACGGGG